GUGCCUACGGGGGGCAGCAGUGGGGAAUAUUGCACAAUGGGGGAAACCCUGAUGCAGCGACGCCGCGUGAGUGAAGAAGUAUCUCGGUAUGUAAAGCUCUAUCAGCAGGGAAGAAAAUGACGGUACCUGACUAAGAAGCCCCGGCUAACUACGUGCCAGCAGCCGCGGCAAUACGUAGGGGGCAAGCGUUAUCCGGAUUUACUGGGUGUAAAGGGAGCGUAGACGGCGCUGCAAGUCCGGAGUGAAAGCCCAUGGCUUAAC
RNAcentral lists this ribosomal RNA (261 nucleotides) under uncultured bacterium. RNAcentral's name for it is "partial 16S ribosomal RNA". It matches the Rfam family "Bacterial small subunit ribosomal RNA", at positions 335 to 613 of the family's 1533-position model. The record is from RNAcentral.